Gadus morhua (Atlantic cod) is the source of this 1997-nucleotide long non-coding RNA. RefSeq lists it as uncharacterized. The transcript is spliced from 2 exons. The record is from RefSeq and is a predicted model, not a curated record. NCBI's taxonomy places the organism in Eukaryota, Metazoa, Chordata, Actinopteri, Gadiformes, Gadidae.
UCUCCCUCUCACUCCCCUUCACCUCUCUCCCUCCCUCUCACUCCCCUUCACCUCACUCUCUCCCUCUCUCUCACUCCCCUUCACCUCACUCUCUCUUUCUCAUUGUUCAACCAAACUGAACUGAGUGUUUAUGUACUUCAUAAACCCCCAACGACUUCCUGAGAACAUCCACUGACUUUCACACUGUGGUUUAUAGCUCCUUUGUUGAGCGCACACUCUUUGGGGUUGAUGUCUCAUCUGUUAAACGCACACACUUUGUUGAGAUAUCUAGGGUCUCCGAUAUAUAACUACUUCUUACAGCUCAUUUUGUCCCAUUUGGUCGUUUUAUAUAGUAACACCAUUGUUGAUUGUAUGUCAUGUCAAUGAGAGAGGAAGAAGUGAAGUUAUAUAUGGUCUUUAAAGCAUUGUGAAGGGAGGUUAGUGGCUAUUGCAGAGAAUAUCUAAAAGGAGGAAGCUACAUGUGAAGACUAUUACUGUAGCCUUUCACAAUCAGCCAAUCAGCCCUCCCCCUGUCCAAGUGGCGUUAACAACCAGACACAGAGAGGAAGCUACGGAGCAGAUGAAGAUGAAUCCAUGGACCCUCUCUGUGCUCCUGCUGCUUGCUGGUCAGCCCCUGGACCGGAACAUGAGAUCGUCUACAGCGAGGUCGUUGGCUGAACCAAACUCAAGCAUCGACUCCUCUUCCUCCUCCAGUGAUGACGAGAUAAGGGAACACUGACUUCAUCAUGUCUGUUGUCUCUCACAGACUUAGUCGUUAAGUCUUGUUCUUUUUAGUUUGUAUUUCUGAUUCUAACAUUUCUGAUGAUUUCAGUGUUUUAUGCAUUUGAGUUUUCUCUCUUUAGCGUAUGUUGUUAUCCGAAUAUACUCGAGGUUGUCAGAAUAACGGUGAGGUUUGUAAAGACUAGUUCUUCUCCAUUCUGCUCCUGAUGACUAGGUUACGUUUCAAAAAAGAUACUUCAUAUCUAGUUUCCUGAUGGAAUGGCCGCUCAGUCUUUUAUGAGCCUGUACUUCUGUUAGCUUACAGUAUUAAUGCAAUCAUAUAUUUACAGUCUGUGGGUCAUGUAGGCUUACAAAAAAAGAUCUGUCAUGUUCUCAUCUUCAGAGGUUGCUGUGUUAAAGUGAAGCCAUUUUAAAUACUGAUAAAGUUAAUGGGGGGCAGAUAAUCAUCCUCCCCACUGUGGAGCUAAUAUAAGAAGGGGGAAGUAGAAUUCACUGAAAGUCAGCAGGAACUUUGUCUGCUGCCAUGUGUGUCGAAGUCAUUUCUGCUCCGAAUACUAUUAUUAAGAUAUCAGAAGUCAGAUAGAAUUGAAUUAAAGUCUUUUUGUGAAGCAUCUGUGUAAAAAUACAGGUAUUAUAGGUAUGCAUAACCCAAUUUAGACAUGGAACAAGCUCUUUGGGAACAGUAUUAGACCGUUCAAGUAGGCUAUUAAACAAUAAAAGUUUAAUUAUUACCUUAUUCUGAGCAUACAGUGUAUUUUCAUUUUGAUACAGCUGGCCUAAUGAUUUCUCAAUGCAAAUCGGUAUAGUGAAGGGUAUUUGAUGAUGUUGGACUAUUUUAAUUCCAAAGGCUAAGGGAACCUAAUCAGGAUAAAUAUCCUGGAUCCAUGAAAUAAUUGGCUUUUAAAAAAAACACUAUUUUAAGGGAUAACAUUUAUUUAUUUACAAUACAUUAUUCAUUCAAAAAGCAAAUUGGUGUCCUUAAAGGUUGGAUUUUUCAUCAAUGGUUUAAUUAAGGCAUUAAGAUCAAUUUCCGAAAGAUGAUUUUUUAUUCCUCUUUUAUAACUUUAGCAUUGCAUGCCUAAAGUUAUGCCUACAACUAUAUAUAGAUAUAGAUAUAGAUAUAUAUAGAUAUAUAUAUAGAUAUAUGUGUGUGUGUGUGUGUGUGUGUGUGUGUGUGUGUGUGUACACAUAUGAUACACACAUAUAUACAUAUUGUUUUUACUAUGCACUUAUUUAAUGUAUUUCAUGAUGUAAAUCAAUAAACUCAGAACAUGUCA